AGUAACGGCGAGUGAAGCGGCAACAGCUCAAAUUUGAAAUCUGGCCUCUUUGGGGUCCGAGUUGUAAUUUGUAGAGGAUGUUUCGGGUACCGCCUCGGUUUAAAUUUCUUGGAACAGAAUGUCAAAGAGGGUGAGAAUCCCGUCUUGGACCGGCGGUAGGGCCCAUGUGAAACUCCUUCGACGAGUCGAGUUGUUUGGGAAUGCAGCUCAAAAUGGGUGGUAAAUUUCAUCUAAAGCUAAAUAUUGGCCAGAGACCGAUAGCGCACAAGUAGAGUGAUCGAAAGAUGAAAAGCACUUUGAAAAGAGAGUUAAACAGUAUGUGAAAUUGUUGAAAGGGAAGCGCUUACAACCAGACUUGCGCGCGGCGGUUCCCCCUUCCUUUUGGUUGGGCUACUCCGUCGUGUCCAGGCCAACAUCGGUUCUGGGGGUCGGUUAAAGACCUUGGGAAUGUAUCUACCCUUCGGGCGUAGACUUAUAGCCCAGGGUGUCAUGCGACCUCCCGGGACCGAGGAACGCGCUUCGGCUCGGAUGUUGGCGUAAUGGUUGUCAGCGACCCGUCUUGAAA
RNAcentral lists this ribosomal RNA (565 nucleotides) under Exophiala aquamarina. RNAcentral describes it as "eukaryotic LSU rRNA". It matches the Rfam family "Eukaryotic large subunit ribosomal RNA", at positions 82 to 659 of the family's 3401-position model. Lineage: Eukaryota; Fungi; Ascomycota; Eurotiomycetes; Chaetothyriales; Herpotrichiellaceae. The record is from RNAcentral.